RNAcentral lists this ribosomal RNA (229 nucleotides) under uncultured bacterium. Its description in RNAcentral is "partial 16S ribosomal RNA". It matches the Rfam family "Bacterial small subunit ribosomal RNA", at positions 568 to 796 of the family's 1533-position model. The record is from RNAcentral.
UACGUAGGCGGAAUGAUAAGUUAGUGGUGAAAGCCCCCGGCUCAACCGGGGAACUGCCAUUAAUACUGUCAUUCUUGAGUAUAGUUGAAGUGGGCGGAAUGUAUCAUGUAGCGGUGAAAUGCUUAGAUAUGAUACAGAACACCGAUAGCGUAGGCAGCUUGCUAAACUAUAACUGACGCUCAGGCACGAAAGCGUGAGGAGCAAACAGGAUUAGAUACCCUGGUAGUCC